UGCGACAGGCUUAACACAUGCAAGUCGAGGGGCAGCACAGGUAGCAAUACCGGGUGGCGACCGGCGCACGGGUGAGUAACGCGUAUGCAACUUACCUAUCAGAGGGGGAUAACCCGGCGAAAGUCGGACUAAUACCGCAUGAAGCAGGGGCCCCGCAUGGGGAUAUUUGCUAAAGAUUCAUCGCUGAUAGAUAGGCAUGCGUUCCAUUAGGCAGUUGGCGGGGUAACGGCCCACCAAACCGACGAUGGAUAGGGGUUCUGAGAGGAAGGUCCCCCACAUUGGUACUGAGACACGGACCAAACUCCUACGGGAGGCAGCAGUGAGGAAUAUUGGUCAAUGGCCGAGAGGCUGAACCAGCCAAGUCGCGUGAGGGAUGAAGGUUCUAUGGAUCGUAAACCUCUUUUAUAAGGGAAUAAAGUGCGGGACGUGUCCCGUUUUGUAUGUACCUUAUGAAUAAGGAUCGGCUAACUCCGUGCCAGCAGCCGCGGUAAUACGGAGGAUCCGAGCGUUAUCCGGAUUUAUUGGGUUUAAAGGGUGCGUAGGCGGCCUUUUAAGUCAGCGGUGAAAGUCUGUGGCUCAACCAUAGAAUUGCCGUUGAAACUGGGGGGCUUGAGUAUGUUUGAGGCAGGCGGAAUGCGUGGUGUAGCGGUGAAAUGCAUAGAUAUCACGCAGAACCCCGAUUGCGAAGGCAGCCUGCCAAGCCAUGACUGACGCUGAUGCACGAAAGCGUGGGGAUCAAACAGGAUUAGAUACCCUGGUAGUCCACGCAGUAAACGAUGAUCACUAGCUGUUUGCGAUACACAGUAAGCGGCACAGCGAAAGCGUUAAGUGAUCCACCUGGGGAGUACGCCGGCAACGGUGAAACUCAAAGGAAUUGACGGGGGCCCGCACAAGCGGAGGAACAUGUGGUUUAAUUCGAUGAUACGCGAGGAACCUUACCCGGGUUUGAACGCAUUCGGACCGAGGUGGAAACACCUUUUCUAGCAAUAGCCGUUUGCGAGGUGCUGCAUGGUUGUCGUCAGCUCGUGCCGUGAGGUGUCGGCUUAAGUGCCAUAACGAGCGCAACCCUUGCCACUAGUUACUAACAGGUGAUGCUGAGGACUCUGGUGGGACUGCCAGCGUAAGCUGCGAGGAAGGCGGGGAUGGCGUCAAAUCAGCGCGGCCCUUACAUCCGGGGCGACACACGUGUUACAAUGGCGUGGACAAAGGGAGGCCACCUGGCGACAGGGAGCGAAUCCCCAAACCACGUCUCAGUUCGGAUCGGAGUCUGCAACCCGACUCCGUGAAGCUGGAUUCGCUAGUAAUCGCGCAUCAGCCAUGGCGCGGUGAAUACGUUCCCGGGCCUUGUACACACCGCCCGUCAAGCCAUGGGAGCCGGGGGUACCUGAAGUCCGUAACCGCGAGGAUCGGCCUAGGGUAAAACUGGUGACUG
This 1432-nucleotide ribosomal RNA is filed under the name uncultured organism. Its description in RNAcentral is "SSU rRNA". It matches the Rfam family "Bacterial small subunit ribosomal RNA". The record is from RNAcentral.